RNAcentral lists this ribosomal RNA (371 nucleotides) under uncultured organism. RNAcentral describes it as "partial 16S ribosomal RNA". It matches the Rfam family "Bacterial small subunit ribosomal RNA", at positions 527 to 896 of the family's 1533-position model. The record is from RNAcentral.
GGAGGGGGCGAGCGUUGUUCGGAAUUACUGGGCGUAAAGGGCGCGUAGGCGGGAUAUCAAGUCAGGGGUGAAAGUCCUGGGCUCAACCCGGGGACUGCCUUUGAAACUAGUAUUCUUGGGACCGGGAGAGGAUGGCGGAAUUCCCAGUGUAGAGGUGAAAUUCGUAGAUAUUGGGAAGAACACCGGUGGCGAAGGCGGCCAUCUGGACCGGAUCUGACGCUGAGGCGCGAAAGCGUGGGGAGCAAACAGGAUUAGAUACCCUGGUAGUCCACGCCGUAAACGAUGUGUGCUAGCCGUUGGGGCACUUAGUGUUUCAGUGGCGCAGCUAACCGCGUUAAGCACACCGCCUGGGGAGUACGGCCGCGAGGUUA